CCUACGGGUGGCAGCAGUGGGGAAUAUUGCACAAUGGGGGAAACCCUGAUGCAGCAACGCCGCGUGAGUGAAGAAGUAUUUCGGUAUGUAAAGCUCUAUCAGCAGGGAAGAAGAUGACGGUACCUGAAUAAGAAGCCCCGGCUAACUACGUGCCAGCAGCCGCGGUAAUACGUAGGGGGCAAGCGUUAUCCGGAUUUACUGGGGGUAAAGGGAGCGGAGACGGCAGUGCAAGUCCGGAGUGAAAGGCCGAGGCCCAACCCCGGGUAUGCUCUGGAAACUGGGCGGCUAGAGUGCUGGAGGGGCAGGUGGAAUUCCUAGUGUAGCGGUGAAAUGCGUAGAUAUUAGGAGGAACACCAGUGGCGAAGGCGGCCUGCUGGACAGUAACUGACGUUGAGGCUCGAAAGCGUGGGGAGCAAACAGGAUUAGAUACCCUUGUAGUC
This 440-nucleotide ribosomal RNA is filed under the name uncultured bacterium. RNAcentral's name for it is "partial 16S ribosomal RNA". It matches the Rfam family "Bacterial small subunit ribosomal RNA", at positions 338 to 795 of the family's 1533-position model. The record is from RNAcentral.